This 59-nucleotide transfer RNA is filed under the name Enterococcus faecium. Its description in RNAcentral is "tRNA-Met". It matches the Rfam family "tRNA", at positions 8 to 63 of the family's 71-position model. Rfam says of the family: Transfer RNA (tRNA) molecules are approximately 80 nucleotides in length. Their secondary structure includes four short double-helical elements and three loops (D, anti-codon, and T loops). Lineage: Bacteria; Bacillati; Bacillota; Bacilli; Lactobacillales; Enterococcaceae. The record is from RNAcentral.
UAGCUCAGUUGGUCAGAGCAGACGGCUCAUAACCGUCCGGUCGUAGGUUCGAGUCCUAC